UAUGGGAUGGAGGCCGGUUCUGGGAAAUCUGAUUGGACCAUUCUAUUAGUUAUGAUUUAUCAUGAAUUUUCAUGAAUUUUAAUUGAUUUUUGGAGCAGGUUUGCUUGGGGUCGAAAUUGCACCUGAGGGCAUAUUGGGGUCAGAUCCUUGUGUUAGGAUAUCUGAUCAUAUGUUUCUGUGCUGGAACAUAUUAUCACUUAUGAUAUUGAUCAUAAGGAAUUGUUGGUCAUCAAUCUUGGUGUUGGUAAGGUAUGGGCAAUGCAUUGGCUGUGAGCCAGGAAGAAGAGUACAGCUAAGUACUUGGUGGCGUGGACCAAAGUACUAAGCUUGGGUGUUAUUAUUCAAGGCAGGCCGUGUGUGAUCUGAUCAUGGGCAAGGAUGGACGACCUGAUCCUUGGAUGAUGGAUCAAGGUGUCUGAUCUGAUUGAUCAAAGGAUGGACCGGUGGUAAGAGCAACACUAAUCAGGUUCAGUGGGACAUGGUUCCAUGACUGAUUAUGAAGUAUGAAGACUCAUCAGUUCUGAGUCAUGUGGGGUGGUUGGUUGAUUGACUCAGGAUCUGAUGGGCAUUAUUAUUCUUUGUGAGGACUUGAUCUGGUUAGUCCAUGAGAGGACAUGGUAUGAUUAGUCCGUGAGAGGACUUGGUAUUAUAUUCUACAAAGCGUACGGGUAUUGGAUGAUGCAUGGGCUAAGAAGGGCCAGAUGCAUAUCAGUUACUAUUGAAUGACUAAGUACCCAAGGGAAGAGUUUAUGCAGGUAUAAGGGAGUUGGACGAGUGGACGGGGAGCUGGGCAAAGCUACCUCGCACCUCGAUCAGCUGGAACGGAGCAGCAAACCUCAAGUGAAGUGGUUCAGCUCAACUAUCUGGGUGAGCUAGCUAAGACAGCUAAGUCAGCUGGGACAAUGAGCUAACAAGCACCGGGAUUGUGGCAAAGGUAUGAUCUGUCAAUGUU
This 952-nucleotide long non-coding RNA is filed under the name Brassica napus (rape). Its description in RNAcentral is "long non-coding RNA (BNAP_LNC010361)". The record is from RNAcentral. Lineage: Eukaryota; Viridiplantae; Streptophyta; Magnoliopsida; Brassicales; Brassicaceae.